CAGAUUGAACGCUGGCGGCAGGCUUAACACAUGCAAGUCGAGCGGAAACGAUGAUAGCUUGCUAUCAGGCGUCGAGCGGCGGACGGGUGAGUAAUACUUAGGAAUCUACCUAGUAGUGGGGGAUAGCACGGGGAAACUCGUAUUAAUACCGCAUACGACCUACGGGAGAAAGGGGGCAGUUUACUGCUCUCGCUAUUAGAUGAGCCUAAGUCGGAUUAGCUAGAUGGUGGGGUAAAGGCCUACCAUGGCGACGAUCUGUAGCUGGUCUGAGAGGAUGAUCAGCCACACCGGGACUGAGACACGGCCCGGACUCCUACGGGAGGCAGCAGUGGGGAAUAUUGGACAAUGGGGGAAACCCUGAUCCAGCCAUGCCGCGUGUGUGAAGAAGGCCUUUUGGUUGUAAAGCACUUUAAGCAGUGAAGAAGACUCCGUGGUUAAUACCCACGGACGAUGACAUUAGCUGCAGAAUAAGCACCGGCUAACUCUGUGCCAGCAGCCGCGGUAAUACAGAGGGUGCAAGCGUUAAUCGGAAUUACUGGGCGUAAAGGGAGCGUAGGUGGCUCUAUAAGUCAGAUGUGAAAUCCCCGGGCUCAACCUGGGAACUGCAUCUGAAACUGUAGAGCUAGAGUAUGUGAGAGGAAGGUAGAAUUCCAGGUGUAGCGGUGAAAUGCGUAGAGAUCUGGAGGAAUACCGAUGGCGAAGGCAGCCUUCUGGCAUAAUACUGACACUGAGGCUCGAAAGCGUGGGUAGCAAACAGGAUUAGAUACCCUGGUAGUCCACGCCGUAAACGAUGUCUACUAGUCGUUGGGUCCCUUGAGGACUUAGUGACGCAGCUAACGCAAUAAGUAGACCGCCU
This 856-nucleotide ribosomal RNA is filed under the name bacterium. Its description in RNAcentral is "bacterial SSU rRNA". It matches the Rfam family "Bacterial small subunit ribosomal RNA", at positions 25 to 874 of the family's 1533-position model. The record is from RNAcentral.